Setaria italica (foxtail millet) is the source of this 521-nucleotide long non-coding RNA. RefSeq lists it as uncharacterized. The transcript is spliced from 2 exons. NCBI's taxonomy places the organism in Eukaryota, Viridiplantae, Streptophyta, Magnoliopsida, Poales, Poaceae. The record is from RefSeq and is a predicted model, not a curated record.
AGCACCCACCAAUUCCAUCUUGUGCAGAACUCGCGUGAGCAACCGUAGAAAGCGCAUACUACAAGUCGGUAACAAUGGCAAAGAACUCCUCGACCACCGUUCAGCUGCUCCUCGUCCUCCUCGUUUUACUGGUUCUUGUCAGCGGCAUCCUCGCACGAGGCGGACCAAGCACUUGCAACCUCAGGCCGUUUGAGCAGCGGAAUUGCCCUCCAAUCCCUGGUCAAGGGGACUAAUCACAACAAUGUAUCAAAGGACGCCAGGGACGAAUUUAUACUACUACAUGCUUUCAGAUGCUUGGUUGUGUGUCGUGCUGAUGUUGGUGUAUAUGGCCUACUUUUCCAAUAUAAUAUGAGGGACAGUAUAAUUAAUUAACUGCCCGUACUAUAAAAAGUUCAGAGCUGUUUUUGAAGACUCAUGUGCGUGUGCAAGUUUAUAUUUCGACUAAAGAGUCCCCGCCCAUCACAGUGAUGGUAAACAAAUUAUGUAAUGUCUUAUAAUUAAGAUUCAUUGAUCACACACAA